Molecule: ribosomal RNA, 1320 nt
Filed under: Helice latimera
Lineage: Eukaryota; Metazoa; Arthropoda; Malacostraca; Decapoda; Varunidae
Description: 16S ribosomal RNA
Rfam family: Archaeal large subunit ribosomal RNA (bases 625-1320)
Source: RNAcentral
ACAUGUAUAUAGAUAACUUGUUAAUAAAAAUUAAGAUUUGUUUAGUAAGAAAAAUAAUUUUAAAGUUAAUUUGUUAGUAAUUUUUAAUGACCACAAUAAAGAGACUAUAGAAGAAAGUACUGUAAAGGAAAGAAAAUAAAAAUUUUGGACAGUAAAUUUAAAAUUUUGUACCUUGUGUAUCAGGGAAAAUUUAUAUAUGUUAGUAAAGAUUAAAGAUCUCGAAAUAAAAUAUAGCUAAUUUUAUAAAAAAUUUUUUGUAGAAAAUAAAUUUUUAAUAUAGAAUUAAAGGUGAAACACUAAUCGAGUUUUAUGGUAUCUAGUUUUUUAAAAAUAAAUUUAAUUUAACUUUUAAUAUUUAUCAAAUUUAAAAUUUAAAUGUAGGAGGGAUUAGCUUCUUAUAAAUUGAGGUAGUAAAGAGUAAAAUAAAACUAGUUGAUGAAUUAAGCUUAAAAGUAGCUAUAUUAAUAAAGUGUUCUAGCUAAAUCAGAGUUACAUAUUAUUUAUAAAAACUUUUUGUGGUAUUAAAAAAUUAAUUUAAGUUAAAAAAAUUAAGUUAUAAUGAUUUUAUUAGUAAAAUUUUAUUAUAAAAUAAUAUAUUUAAAUAAUAAAAAUUAUUUAAAAAUAGCCUUAUGGUUCAAAGGAACUCGGCAAAAAUAUUUUCUUUGCCUGUUUAUCAAAAACAUGUCUAUUUGAAGAUAUAAAAAGUUUAACCUGCCCACUGAUAACUUAAAAUUGAAUGGCCGCGGUAUCUUGACCGUGCAAAGGUAGCAUAAUCGUUAGUUUUUUAAUUGGAAUCUUGUAUGAAUGGUUGGACAAAAGAAAGUCUGUCUUUGUAUCAUUAAUUGAAUUUAACUUUUAAGUGAAAAGGCUUAAAUAAAUUAAAGGGACGAUAAGACCCUAUAAAGCUUAAUAUUAAAAUUUUAUUUAGUUGAAUUUUUUGUUAUAAAAACUUAGUAAUUGAGUUUAUUUUAUUGGGGCGAUAAGAGUAAAAUGAUUAUUAACUGCUUAAUUUUUAAUACAUUUAUAGAUGAUUAAAUUUUUAGAUGAUCCUAGUUAGAGAUUAAAAGUUUAAGUUACUUUAGGGAUAACAGCGUUAUUUUUCUUAAGAGUACUUAUCGAAAGAAAAGUUUGCGACCUCGAUGUUGAAUUAAAAUAUCUUUAUAAUUGCAGCAGUUAUAUAAGUAGGUCUGUUCGACCUUUAAAAUUUUACAUGAUUUGAGUUCAAACCGGCGUGAGCCAGGUUGGUUUCUAUCUUUUAAUAAAAUAAAAAUUAUUUUAGUACGAAAGGAUUAAAUAAUUUAAAUUAUUUAAAAUAUGAUA